ACGAGGCCAGCGGGCAUCUGCAUAUAAAAUGCUGGAGAACAAUUAACCAACCAUAUGAGGCAGCCAAGGCCGAGCCUGUCCGGCGCCUGGCCACUUCGCUCCACUUGAUCUUAUCAUUAAUAUCUGUGCCGGUAAGAUCCAUUCAGAGUAACAUGGUGACCAGCGUCAGAUGAACACGUCCAGUGUAAAGUGCGUCGAGACCGAGUUAACAUGGGACUGUAGUUUGCAGCUCUAAUUUGGUGAUAUAAAAGCUGAGGGAAGUUCCGUGGUGGUGUGGAACGCACUGACUGAUGGUGAAAAGAAAAGAUACGAAGAACACAGUGCAACGUGACGACUGAAAACCAACGAUCUCACUUCAGGACGAAGGUUCCGCCCCUGCGUGAAGGAACACGAGCGGCGGUGGGCGGUGUGUGGGGGCGGCGGUGCUCCCAGGGUGCGAGCCAUGAGUGCCAGGUUGCUCUCUGCUCCGCCUCGCCCAUGUUUCCUAUUUCUGCUGUUGUUGUGCCUGUUGCUGCCGACUCUCUGCGUCUCGACUGCCACGAUCGCAACGGUGGUGGCGCAGGGCAACACGGUGGUGUUCCAGCACCGGGUGGAGGCGCUGCUGGACGAGAGGCAAGUGUACACGAGAGUAGAGGUUGUGGAAGUUUCGAGGACAAACAGCGACACUCUCCUGGUCCUCGCUUCCUACGAUGACCGCGACGACUUGGCAACGAUGGUGAGGCUCCCCAGCCUGGCGUCUGAUGGGACAGAAGCAAGGGCCGUGGCGGUGACAACUGUGGGUGGCCGCGUCACCUCGCUACUGCACCACGCCGAGGAGACGCCUGCCUCACUCAACUACAAGAGGGCCCUGGUCUCCCUCCUCACCCCCGCCCUCCACUCCCACCGCCUUGUCUACCACACUCAGAGCGGAGUGCUGGGAACGUGCGAGGUGCGGUACGAGCACGAGGAGUCACGCACGGUCACCUGGCUGGACAUGACGCGCUGUUCCCACUUCACCUACGAGCAGGUCCUCAGUGCCCACAACCUGCCGCUCCUCCACCUGGCUGUGGAGCUCGAGGGCAGCAGCUCCACGUGUGACUACAGCUGGCGAGGCGCGGACAGGGACCUGCUGGAGGGCGUCCGCUGCACCGAGACUCUGCUGGUGGCGCCGCGCUACACACCCACCUCACAGCUCCUGAACAUCACCCUCACUUCCUCCCUCACCCCACUCAACGCCUCUCUCCUUGAGCCGGAAGUGUUCGAUUACAUGCAAGGAGCCACCGAGACCACGGAUCUGACCUUCCAGCUUGAGCCGCAGAAAGAAGCGCAGGGCAAUGUACUCCAGCUGAUGGAGGAAGUGUGUUUCAGUGAGGGUGAGGAGCGUCUCACUGCCGAACUCCUGCAGAGGUUGUCAUACUUGUCCUAUGUCUUGGCGCGUUCCACCUCAGAACUGCCUGACCUCCCCGCCGUCUGCCCCGUCAACGUCAGGCGCGGCGUGGCGCUGGCAAUGGCUGUGGUUGGAGGACCGCGAACUCUGCACUUUUUCGUGAAGCAGCUGGCGGAACUCUCGCGAGCUUCCAGGAAUUUUAAUUUUUCUGACGACGAGUACUUCUUCACGCUGGCCCUGCGCAACCUGGUGAACCCCGAGCACCACUCCAGUGAAGCCCUGCCCAGGGACUUCUUCCUCCGCAGAGAGAACCAAAUCGUGUAUGACGAGCUCGUGGACUAUCUGCUGACGCAGACGCCACCUGCUGUGGCAGGUGUGGCUGUGCUACUGGAAGGCCUUUCCAAGGUGGCGCCGCAGCUGUUCCAGCGUCUGCUGCAAAAGAGUGGACCAUUUUUGUUGCCCAGAGGCGCCUGUGAACGUGGUGACUAUGCUGAGGCGGUGCGGUUGCUGCGGAGUGUGAGCGGCCUCAGCACGCGGCCCCAGGACUACGUGACCUCCCUUGGACCGUGCUUCGCCACCGACAACGUGGACGUGAUCGUCGCCGCCAUGGACACACUCUCCACCGUCGACUGUGACAUGCAGGGCGUGACUGAGCUGCAGAAGGUGGGCCUCGAUAGUCCCUCUGACUCUGAAAUUCGCAUCGCAGCUUACCGCGGCCUGGUGCACUGCCUCCCCUCUCAGCCUGACCUCAUCCAGACGGUGGCUAAGGCCCUCGACUCUUCGCACGACGACUUUUCCACACAAGUGGCUUCCUAUGUGUGGAGUCACAUUCAGUCGGUGAUCUCAUCCGACGACCCAAGCCUGCUGAGUCUGAAGGAGGUCCUGAGCGCCUCGGACCUGGUCACCGGCGUACCUGACCCGGUAUGGUAUGACCCCAGACGACAUUCCCGCCACCUGGCCCACACCGUGCACCUGGACGCCCGCACCUCCGUGACAGUGACGGGCGACUUGGCGUGGGGCAGGUACUCGCCAGCACCGAGGGCAAUAUACCUCACUGUCGCUCUUCACCAUGAGGGAGCAACGCAUCAGUUUGCCCAGGUGAUGUUGCGCGUGACUGGUGUGGAGGCCAUGGUGCUGAGCGUCCCUUGGGUGGAGGAAAUGCUUCACGCCGCCGGAUCUGCCGCCUCGCAAUUGUGGUCCAUCGUGUCACGCAUGGCGGGCAGCAAAUCAAGGGACAAGAGGGAUGUAACUCAUAACCAGAUCACUGAGUUCUUACAGCAGGUGAUAACAAGAAUACCGGCGGCAUACAGGAUUAAAGUUUCCACCGUUGAGUUGUACCUCCGCCUCCUGGACACUCACGCGCUCUACCUCCACCUCGAAGACCUUCGCUAUUCCUCUCCGCUGGAAGCUCUGGCCACAAAGCUUCAGGCUCCGCUCAGGGCUGUGCUUGUGGCUCUGGCGCCGCUGCUGGACAACACGCUGACCCUGGCUACCUCCUCAGGAGUGCCCGUGGCCCUCGGGGUGCACGGGAUGGCUGGCGUCAACGCCCGUUGCGAUCACAUCGCCCCGGUGGGGGGAGGAGUGUUUAACCUGGUGGCCAGUGGCGGCAUGGUGCUGUGGGGCCGCGCAAACGUGGGCGGCGGGAGGGAGGCACCCCUUGUGAGCCACCUCCUUUGGACCCUCGAUUUCCCCAUCUCCGCCAGCUACCAGUAUGAGGGCGAAGGAUUGCAUGCCCACGUCCGGCUGCCGCGGAACUGGCCAGGCCACGUUUGGAUGAACCGUCGAGACACGACACUGAACGGCACCCUUGCACCCGCCAAUACCUCACGGAGCUGCUGGGGGAGAGAGGAGGUGCUGGAGGUGUGUCUGGAGGCUCGAGACGGAGAGAUGACGGGAGGGAUGAUGGGGCGCGGCGGCUGGCUGGCCCCUUACUUCCGCUCCCUGACGCUGCCCAGGCUGAAUCCUGCAGAGCCCAUCAACGUGACCUUCUCCUUCCCAAAAAUCGGCGAGACGCGAAUGAGGCAGAUGGUGUUGGAGGCGGGUGGCCAGAGGUACAGUGGUGGCUUGGUGGUGCAAAACUCGCCCUUCCACUCCUUUACCGUCACGCUCAACACACCCUUACACGUGUAUCUCUUCAAAGGUUUGGCGGGCACGCGAGAGAGAGUCACGCAGGUCGCCAGUCUGGAGGCAAGCAUGGACCAGGACCGCUAUGGCCUCCGCCUGCAACUGUCCACACCUCAGUUGGUGCGGCAGAAAGUGUGGAGUCCAUCGGUCUUCAUCACGACGCCAGCGGGAGGGGAGGAAGAGGCGGUGCGUGUGUACUUCUCAGUGAAAGAUGAGACGGACGGUUUCCAGUCAGAUUUCAUUUUCCAGACGCUGGGGCCGCUGUUGUCCUAUUUGAAGCUGGAGGCCUCAAGCCAGAUCGUGGGAACGGUGGAUGGGACUGACGGCUCGUUAAAGAUACUAGAGAUCAGAUCACUGGAGGUCACGUCGUCAUCCCUCUUCAGUAUGGGGUUGAGUGGACGCGUGCACUUGGCGGGGUCAACACACGGCGAGGGGCACUUCAAGGUGAGAUGGGCAGGUGACGCCAAUCAGUUUGAGUUCAGCGUGGCACUGACUCCAGCGGUCACCUUCCUGGGAAUAUCGCAAUUCGAAGCAGGGGGCACGAGAGGCACCUCCCUCAGAGUAUCCUUCAGUGCUCUCCACAACAGCAUUCAGGCUCCCAUGGGAGGUAGUCUGGCCCUCCUGCUGGACACGAGCACAGUGGAGCUGGACAUCAGCCUCGCCUUGGCUCACCUCGCACGGAUCAAUUUUUCUCAUAAGUACAAGGGACCGCUCAACCUCCGCACUGCAAUGGCCGUACGGUCCGAAUCCAUCGGCAUGGCCUGGUCGGCAGGCCAUGAACUACUGGUGCAGCCCGGCACCCUGCGGCAUGAAUUCAACGUGUCAUGGUCGGAAGAACCAUCAGACACUGUGUCCUCCGUGGUGUACUAUACAGCUGCUUCAGACAACUCCCUCUCUCAUUCCUUCAGGGCUCAGGUGGUGUAUCCAGGCCAGCUGGUUGAGGUGGAGCAGACCCUGGAGGAGGUGCUGCACGGGACGUAUAAGAGUAAGCUGCUAGCAAGGAUGGACCCAGGCCGGACCCUGAAUUCUGAGACCAUCCUCAUAACCAGGAUCAAGGAACAUGCCCUUUCUUACGGCUUCUCCAACACCCUCAGACUAGACACCUGGGCCACGCCGCUCAGCUUGGUGGGCGCCUUCAACUGUGUCCCCACCACGUGCUCGGUAAUGUUCACCGUAGAUCGGUCCGGGGAUCAACUUUUGGACCUGAAAGUGAAGCGCAACUCAGCGGCAGGCGUGUCCCGCACCAACGCCCACAUCAUAAUUAUGCAAUGGCUCAACGGCACCAUAUCGCUGGACGCGGUUCAGAAGAUUGGAUACUACGACUUCAAGUGCCGAAUGGCGUUGUGGGCGUGGCAGAGAGUUAUAAACGGACGUGCUCAGAUAAAUUUGUUGUCUACUGACGCGGUGGUGUCGGAGGCGUUGCUGCUAGAGCUACAAGAAGAUGGAAAACCUGGUCUUCCGACUCACUCGUACAAUGGCACACUGAGACUUGAUCAGGCCGCCAGGACGCUCUUCAUCAGGCAGGAAGUGUGGCCAGUGGUGGGGGGCGCCCAGCAGCCGCCUUGGCAAGUGCUGGUCGAGGGAGGCAUCGGGGACGCUCUGCUCAACAGCUAUCACUUUGCUAAGGGACUACUGAGGACGCCGGUGGGCCAACUGUACUCUGCAAACGGUGAGGCUCACACCGCGCUGGUGGGGCAGGAGUCCGUGGAGGCGACGGUGAUGCUCUCCGCCGCGCAGGACGCCCACGUCCACUACCUCUUGGCCUGGGAGAUGGACUUGCAGACUCACAACACAACUAAUAGUACUACAAACUCCAAGCAAGAGGCCGACACAGGGGAGGAGACAGCGGUGGAGGAGGCCACAAAGAACACGGUGGUGAUGAGUCUGGAGAGCUUCGGAAGGCUUAAAACACCACCCACAGGGGAGCUGGAGCUCAGGGUGGACUGCAAAAGAAAGCUCCUUCCUCCUGCUGACGGCACGGGCCUCGCAAUAAACAGGGUUGAUACGGAUGUCCGUCUGACUCUGGUGGAGCAGCGGUGGGAGGUUGGCGGCACGCAGGGCAGUCUUAGCUGGACGGCGAACAUGUACUCGCUCAACGGGCGCACCUGGCUCACGCAGGGACAACGCUCCAUUGGAUUAGUGUCGUUUGGAGCUGCCAAAAACCAAAGCCUGAAGAGCUCCCACAUCCUGAGCCUGAUGGAUCCAGGGCAGGCUUGGGGACGCCUCGUGCUGGGGCUGGAAACUGAACACCUGGGGUCCUUUCCUCACAGCUUUCAGAGUUCAGCGGGCCUCAAGCUGGGCGUGGGGAACGCUGAGGCGGGUCAGGCGCUGGCCCUCGUGCUCUGGACUCCUGCCGAGGCCGCAGUCAAUCUUGCCCUCACCACUUUCCUUGCUGCACUCCCCGGAGGAAACUUGUAUUUAAAGAUGUGGGGAUCAGGAUUCGAGGGGCACGCGGCCUGGGCAGACGUGAAGGGUGGCGGGGGUGUCAAAUGGGACCGCGGGGGACGAGACCUGGAGGUGGCGUUGAAGUAUGAACACCCCGGGGCGGCCCUGCACGUCCUGGAGACCACUCUAUCCUUCAGCGUGUCCCAGCCCCUUUACCCACCCCUGACCCUGGUGAUGGCUGUGGGGUUCAACCUGAACGGCGCCUAUCAACUCGCUGUCAACGCGGAAUGUCGCUCGGGGCAGGAGAACUACCUGGUGACGGUAGCCAUGCAGCAUCCUGGAGGGAGCAGCGGCCUGCGUCUUCUGGUGCGGAAGGUCGGCAUCACCUACGGCUCCCUUCUGGCUUGUUUCCUCAACGACUUCGCCAUGCAGAUCACCGGAGCUUACACGGCACGGGACGCGGAGCAGGAGAUGCUAGCCACCAUCAAAACCUCGCUGCUGCCGGAGCCUAACGGCUACACCCUCAAGCUGGUGAAGAAGAUGCUCAUGCAGAGUAUCGAGCUGCUGGCCUUCCUCGCUCAGGGCGGCGCGCAACCGGACUGGGUCUACGGCUACAGAGUGGUGGGGCAGAUUAAGAGGGACAUCAAGGGGCGGCUGAGGACGAUGGUGGCCGAGGACACCCUCACCCACCACAUCCUGCAGACGUUGGUGGAGGAGUACAAGUUCUUCCAACUGUUUGUCAACAAUCACUUCGAUGAGAUGGAGCUGGAAAUGAAGUUCUUGGAGUUCUGGCCAACAACGAAGGUAUCUGGCACGCUGCGGAAGGGGAAGGACACCCAGCUGUCCCUCACCGUCACUACGCCCACCCUCAAACACCUGCUGGAGGGACGCAUCUUGUUCAGCAGUGGUGAGUGGCAGUCAGCCCACAGCGGAUCCCUGGCGUACACACAGCGGGACAAAGGGGGACGCGUCGUGCCCCUCAAGGUGGAGCUGGAAGCCAUCAAAUGGAACAGCAACAAACAGAAAUACAACCUGUUAUUCCAAUGUUCGCCUCCUCAGGUGCACGUGGCCAAGGAACUGCCAUUCGCCCCUGACCACAGCCUGGGAGACGUGCAGUAUCCCUUGGAGCAGCCCCCUCGAGCCUCAGCCAUCACUAGUUUCCAGGCCACACUGGAGGUGAUGCGGGACCCCACCUACAACCAGUACAAGGUGACGUGGGAGACAGACGAGACAGUGAGCUACGGCAAGGUGGUGAUGGCCAGGAACCCUCACGGCGGCAAUGGCCUCGUGCAGUACCGGCGCCACGUGAAGGGCAUCCCCAAGUCUGAGAUCGAGUACCUGCUGGAGGGGAACUACCGCCGCGUGGCCAAUGAAGUCAUGUUCUCCUGUACCCUUGACCAGUCUUCCAUCGGCAGGCCGCGUGCCAUCAACUUCCUACACUCUGAGGGCGAGGGCUACACGGAGCUGCUCCUUGACCUGUUCGCGGAGGAAAGUGACCAGGUGAUCCUUGUCAUCAUGAACCUCCCUGAACACUUCAGGUUUAGAAUUGGACAGUACGGGAACACCUUCCUGCUCCUAGGAUAUCAAAGCGACAUAGAUGACGAGGGGGCCAUCGUUUAUAAAGUGCAGGCUCAGAACUCCGGGCGUACAGUGGAGAUGUGGAGUGGGAGCGCAGAGGAGGACGCCAGGAAGUGUAUGAUGGCCGGUGUGAUGCUAGAGACUCCCACGCUGGCGCCCACACACAACAUGCUCAAGUUGUGUCCCACCAAUGGCCCUUAUGUGAUGGUGCAGACGCUGGGUGUAGAGGAACACGAGGGUCCCUAUCUGAAGGUGGGCCAGAUCUCCGGUCCCGGGGGUCUGGGUCUGCAGGUGGGCACCGGAAGACUGCGGCCACUGGACACUCCUCCGGCGCUCACCCUCACGGCCAAUGUUCAGAAGGAGGUGCUAGAGGUGCUCACUGACUGGCAGGUGCCGUCACUCUCGCGCCUGGAGUCAGAGUUCGCUUCUCGCGGGACCUCCGUGGUGGAAGCGCUCUGGGACUUCGGCUACCCCACAGUGAUGGUUGAAGGCGGCCUCUACCUUACCCCGCUCAUCAGCGACACAGAGGACCUGAUCCACCAGACGUUUAACUUUACCCGCUCCACUUCUUUACAAUUGUGGACGAAGUUGGUGGGCGAUGUCUCCAGCAAGGGUGGAGGUCUGUUCCACGAGGUGAGCAGAGCCGUGGUGCGGCACGCUGAAGCUAUGGUGGAUACCUGCGUGGCGGCAGCGCACUCUGCCUUCUCCACACUGAAGGGCUCGGUAGAGAACGUCGCCACGACCACAGUCACCUUGCUGCAGAACGCUACUACAGAUGCAAUAAAUACAUUCAGUGCAGCCGAGGAGCGAGUGGUGGGGGCGGUGAGCGGCGUGACGGCCAGGCUGCAGCACCAUCUGGGGCCGCCCCUCACACGGGUGCACGCCACCCUGGCAGCCCUCACCUACAACGACGACCAGAGCCUGUACGCCCUGGUGUCGAGGGCCAUGGGCGCCGUGCGUAGAAGGAUUGGGCGGCGUGAGGGCGUGCGGGGUUAUGUGACCGACCAACUGCUCACCAGGGCGGAGAAGGUUGUAGUCGAAAACGCCUACUGGGAAGGGCUGCGGGACAAGGGCAGCGCACUCCUCCGGCACCUGCAGAACGUAACAACCAUCAGCAUUGCCAUGCCGCACCAGACAGCGCUCAUGAUCAGGGUGGCGAUGCCCAGCCGCAUGAGGAGGGAUCUGGAGGAGACGAUCCACUGGCUGGUAAAUAAAGAGGGUCCGCGGCUGCUAAUGGAGGCUGAGGGCUGGACGAAGGCUUACUGGGCGCGAACACGGUACCUCCUUACCUGGCCCGUGUACGGGGAGGCUAUGGUGUUCGGGUGGGACCAAGGCAUCACUUGGGACGGCCGCCAAGUGACGCCCCUCCUGACCGACGCUUGCCGUCACCUGCUGGUGCUGCUGACUCACGCCGCCACGCCCACCGCCAUUACGCUGCACAUGGAGGACCUGGACAGCCGCCCUCGGGAGGUGCUCACCUUCUUUAGCGGCAACGACAUCGUCACUCUGGACUCUCUACUCAAGAUGACCUACAACGCUAAGCACAUCCGUCAGCCGCUGUUGGAGAAGGGAGACCUAACUCUGCGGUGGUCGCGGAAUGCUGCCUCCAUCACCUCCACCGUGGGCCUGAGCCUUGAGUGCCAGCUGGACCAGCCGCUGUGCCGCCUGGUAGUCAGCGAUCAGCACUUCGCGGGUACGGUCGGUCUUCUCGGCGUCUUUGAUUACGACAACAGCUCAGACUACAUGACGAGCCGCUGGGAAAUGCCCGCGACGGAGGAGGAGUGGGUGCAGAGCUGGCGGGUAGGCACGCCAGGACAGUGUGCCUCGCAGCUGCCGGAGUCCCACAUGUCGCCGCCACACGGACACCACUGCACUGACCUCUUCCAAAGCUCCAAUUCCCCCUACAGGUACGCAGGUGGUGUUUCCGCAGCGUACCUCCCUCGCCCUACCUUCAGACGUGCCAGGCGGGGUGGGAAUGCGCCUCCCAGCAAGCCUUCCUCCAGGCCUGCAGCCGCCACUACCACGAACUCACACCCAACCUCACGUGCAGUUCGUGUUUGCUGGAGGAGACGCGGGAGGAAGGCACGGAAGGGCUGAGGAAGGAGGUAGUCAUCAUUACGGACUUUGAGUGCUGGAGUGACCCGCAGGACCUCGUCACGGCUCUCUCCAGGGACACAAAGAGGUCCAAGGUGAUGAUCCGUUACAUUGGCCGAGGACCGCCGUCAGAGGGACCCUUCCAGAACGUGGCCGAGACAGUGGUGGACAACGGGGCACUACCUAUUGAAACAAUCCUCAACUCGGCCCUCCUUGACUUCUCCGAGCGGGCGCUGAAGACCAUCAUUUUCUUCGACUGCCAACAUCCUCGCUGCGAAGUCUCGAGCGCGGCGCCCCAGACUGUCAAGGCGAGGGAGACGCUGCUGUCCCUCGGUAUCCAGCUGCACGUCAUCACCAUGGAUGCCCUCACCAUCAUGGACCAACAGUCGCUUUCCCGAAGGGCGGCGCGGCAACUCAUCGGGUUGGACGGCCACACCGCCUACCUCCUGUCCCACGCCCGCAAGAAGAAGGUGAAGGGAAAACGCAACAUCCGGCGCCACCUGGAGGUCCCCAUCGGCAACACCUGCACACACCUGGCCGUGGAGACGGACGGUUCUGUGUUUUCACUUCGGAACAUCAAAAUGGAGAGGAAGCACCACCGGCGGAUCCUGCAGCAGCUGGUGGCGCUCAGGGUGGAGGCGGGGCGCGCGGCGGAUUACCUUGGGUGCCGUGUGUGCAAGUGUGGCGCCCCCUGCACUCUCUGCCAUCCCCCGCCGCCUCUCGUCUAUCUGAACUCCGAGAGAGGUGACGACAAUGACGACGACGACGACUAUGAUGAGGAGGACAACCUGAGCGUGAGGAGUCGAGGCAGAAAGCGCCACAAGUCGAGCCGGAGGCAGUGAGACUGCCGAUCCUCCUCACACCGGAGGUUACAAUACUUCAUUUUCAUUUCAACUGUGUUCUUUGAUAUACUCGUAAAUGUAUGUGUGUCUCUCGCCACAACAAUCUAUUAUAAGCAUUAGUUUAGAGAUACCUGUAAUAAUUAAUGUUGUAAUAUCUCUGCCACCCCAUUUUUUUUCAUAGCAAUAAAAUAUGUCAAGUAUCUGGUAGCGUAGUUGAUAUCGAACAUAGGCCAGCAUUCACAAACGCUUUGCGCUCUCACCAGGACUAUUUUCAAAGGUUGCAAAGAUGAUUCUCAAGAGUGUUUCUCCUGUUAGUAAUGCAGAAUUAUCGUUAGUCUGUCACUAGAACCAUAAAAAAAAACAGCCUUAAAAUCCUGUGUAACUUCAACCGGAGCAUUUUGAAUGCAGCGCAAAAGGGUUUCAGAAUACGGUCCAUAGUCAAGACACGUGUCCCGAGCUGGGCCACAAGACGCCUAGCUCUGGAGGGCGCAAGGGAGCAGCUCAGCAUAGUGUCCUGCAGGGCACGCAACUUUAACAAGUAUUUCAUGAUAGGAUUAACGUGUGUUUAGUGUAGUUGUGGGCAAUAAACAAUUUGCUUGUAC
This is an RNA transcript of Scylla paramamosain (green mud crab), 10991 nucleotides long. RefSeq lists it as uncharacterized. The transcript has 63 exons. The record is from RefSeq and is a predicted model, not a curated record. Lineage: Eukaryota; Metazoa; Arthropoda; Malacostraca; Decapoda; Portunidae.